Molecule: ribosomal RNA, 255 nt
Filed under: uncultured bacterium
Lineage: Bacteria
Description: partial 16S ribosomal RNA
Rfam family: Bacterial small subunit ribosomal RNA
Source: RNAcentral
UACGAAGGGGGCUAGCGUUGCUCGGAAUGACUGGGCGUAAAGGGCGCGUAGGCGGCUUGCACCGUCAGAUGUGAAAUUCCUGGGCUUAACCUGGGGGGCUCAUUUGAUACGUGUGGGCUUGAGUGCGGAAGAGGGUCGUGGGAAUUCCCAGUGUAGAGGUGAAAUUCGUAGAUAUUGGGGAGGAACACCGGUGGCGAAGGCGGCCCCCUGGACCGGUACUGACGCUGAGGCGCGAAAGCGUGGGGAGCAAACGGG